AGAAUUUGAUCUUGGUUCAGGAUGAACGCUGGCGGCGUGCCUAAUACAUGCAAGUCGAACGGCAGUAGCAAUACUGUAGUGGCGAACGGGUGAGUAACACGUUGGUGACCUGCCCCAAAGAUGGGAAUAUCAACCUGGAAACGGGUGGCAAAACCGAAUAAGCUUGAGGGAGUUAGAGAGCCUCAAGUAAAAGCGUAAGCUACUUUGGGAGGGGCCUGCGGCCCAUCAGUUAGUUGGUGAGGGUAACGGCCCACCAAGACGAAGACGGGUAGGGGACCUGAGAGGGUGGUCCCCCACAAUGGAACUGAAACACGGUCCAUACACCUACGGGUGGCAGCAGUAGGGAAUAUUGCUUAAUGGGCCGAAAGCCUGAAGCAGCAACGCCGCGUGGACGAAGGAGGCCUUCGGGUCGUAAAGUCCUUUUAUGAGGGAAAAAGGAAGGAUGGUACCUCAUGAAUAAGUCUCGGCUAACUACGUGCCAGCCGCCGC
RNAcentral lists this ribosomal RNA (489 nucleotides) under uncultured bacterium. RNAcentral describes it as "bacterial SSU rRNA". It matches the Rfam family "Bacterial small subunit ribosomal RNA", at positions 8 to 518 of the family's 1533-position model. The record is from RNAcentral.